RNAcentral lists this ribosomal RNA (514 nucleotides) under bacterium ND6-17. RNAcentral's name for it is "bacterial SSU rRNA". It matches the Rfam family "Bacterial small subunit ribosomal RNA", at positions 32 to 525 of the family's 1533-position model. The record is from RNAcentral.
UAUUUAACGCUGGCNGCAGGCNCUAACACAUGCAAGCUCGAGCCGGNAAACGAGAAGUAGCUUGCUACUUCGGCGUCGAGCGGCGGACGGGUGAGUAAUGCCUAGGAAGUUGCCCAGUAGAGGGGGAUAACCAUUGGAAACGAUGGCUAAUACCGCAUAAUCUCUUUGGAGCAAAGCAGGGGACCUUCGGGCCUUGUGCUAUUGGAUACGCCUAGGUGGGAUUAGCUAGUUGGUGAGGUAAUGGCUCACCAAGGCGACGAUCCCUAGCUGGUCUGAGAGGAUGAUCAGCCACACUGGAACUGAGACACGGUCCAGACUCCUACGGGAGGCAGCAGUGGGGAAUAUUGCACAAUGGGCGAAAGCCUGAUGCAGCCAUGCCGCGUGUAUGAAGAAGGCCUUCGGGUUGUAAAGUACUUUCAGUCGUGAGGAAGGGGGUAAGCUUAAUACGCUUAUCUCUUGACGUUAGCGACAGAAGAAGCACCGGCUANCUCCGUGCCAGCAGCCGNNGGUAAUA